This 77-nucleotide transfer RNA is filed under the name Patescibacteria group bacterium. RNAcentral's name for it is "tRNA-Ile". It matches the Rfam family "tRNA". Rfam says of the family: Transfer RNA (tRNA) molecules are approximately 80 nucleotides in length. The record is from RNAcentral.
GGGCGUGUAGCUCAGCUGGUUAGAGCGCGUCUCUGAUAAGGACGAGGUCGAUGGUUCGAGUCCAUCCAUGCCCACCA